GAUGAACGCUGGCGGCGUGCUUAACACAUGCAAGUCGAACGAAGCAUUACCGAUUGAGACUUCGGUGGAUUUUGGUAAUGACUGAGUGGCGGACGGGUGAGUAACGCGUGGGUAACCUGCCUCACACAGGGGGACAACAGUUGGAAACGACUGCUAAUACCGCAUAAGCGCACAGGAUCGCAUGAUCCAGUGUGAAAAACUCCGGUGGUGUGAGAUGGACCCGCGUCUGAUUAGCUAGUUGGUGGGGUAACGGCCCACAAAGGCGACGAUCAGUAGCCGGCCUGAGAGGGUGAACGGCCACAUUGGGACUGAGACACGGCCCAG
RNAcentral lists this ribosomal RNA (324 nucleotides) under uncultured bacterium. RNAcentral's name for it is "bacterial SSU rRNA". It matches the Rfam family "Bacterial small subunit ribosomal RNA", at positions 28 to 334 of the family's 1533-position model. The record is from RNAcentral.